Long non-coding RNA from Ictidomys tridecemlineatus (thirteen-lined ground squirrel), 1697 nucleotides. RefSeq lists it as uncharacterized. NCBI's taxonomy places the organism in Eukaryota, Metazoa, Chordata, Mammalia, Rodentia, Sciuridae. The record is from RefSeq and is a predicted model, not a curated record.
AAUCUGAAUUUUAAUUAUUUGGAGCAAAAUAUCCUGGACCAAAUUUCUUAACUUACUUUUUCUGCAAUUUACACUUCAUUUUUCUGUCUGUAGCUCAUUCCUUUUCUCCUGCUGAUUUACUUCCUUCUUUAUAACAGUACCUUGUUAAUCUUAAAUCCUUGAGCCAGCCAAUAUAUUUUUUCAGUUCUGAGAAGAUUGGGUAGAAUUUUGAGAUUUGGGAGUCAUAUUAGCAAUACUAAUUUAUUCCCAAAAUAUACAAUGGAAGGCACAGAAGAAAAGAAAAGGAACUUUAAAGAGACUUUAAAAAAUGAUUAUUUUGAAGAACUAAUUCAUGCACAAAGCAAAUCAUAGCAAAAAAUAGAAAAAAAAACCCAUAAACUAAAGUUUAGGUCUCCCUUUUCAUCACUGUAUUUGUUCUCUGGGGCACAUUAUGGCCAGUUACUUUUAUGAGAAAACAUAAAAUUUUCUCAAUGUAUAGUCCCAGAAUUAUAUUUAAAAGGCAAUAAUUGCUUCAGUAAAUAAUGCCACAGGUGUGAGCUUACUGUUUAUAAGGUUUAUGACUUCCUCCUUUUCACUACUCUUUUGGCUCAGGCUGUUUAACUAAUGGCAUCCAUUGGGAGUGGAUUCCAGGAUCUCCCUACCAGUAUCUGACCAUGUUCAAGUGCCUUUCAUGAAAUGGUAUAGUAAUUGCAUUUAACCUACUCACAUCCUUCCAUAUACUUUAAAUCAUCUCUAGAUUAAUUGUAAUGCCUAAUACAAUGUCAAUGCUGUGUGAAAAGUGGUUAUACUCUGUUGUUUGAGGAUAAUGAGAAGAGAAAAUCUGGGCCCCUUUAGUACAGAUGCCAUCAUUGUAGGCAUAACUAUAUUACACACAUCAGCAACAACAUAUUUCAUUUCUUUUUUCAGGUGGUGGGGAUUUUUUUUUUCCAGUCUGGGGAUUGAACCCAAGGCCUUGUGCAUGGAUAUUUUUGAUCCUUCGGUGUCUGAAUCCAGGGAUGGAUAUGAGGGCCUACUGUGAUUAUCCUUGUACACAUGAGGAAGCUGAGACUUACGUGUUGAGUUUGCUGAAGUACCAGAUUCUGAAUGUGAGCCUUGGCAGAUUCAUCUUGUGCACCACAUUUUGUAAAUACUACAGACUGAUAUCAGGAAAGACCAUCAUGUCCUACAAGUUAGAACUCCAGUGACAUUUCACUCCCAGUGGAGAAUGUGUCUAACUCCAAGUCUGAAGCUUAUCUCAGCAGUCGAUUCACUGAUCUUCCUUAUACCACAUGAUUUUCAGAGCUCUUAGGGCAUCUGAUAGCCUUUUGUACAUUUGUAGCAGGGUGCUUGAUAUAUUGGUUCGUGCUAAAUUGUUAUUUCAUGAAUGAACAAAUAAAUGAACACUGAAGUAAAGGGCUACUGUUGUAGCCACAAUAUCAAAUGAAGUUUUCCUUUAAAAUUCCCUGAGAGUGACUAACAGGAUGAUUUUCCCACAUCUGAAUCACAAUGAGACAUUUUCAAGUUAUCCUGAAACCUGAAAAAGUAGUGCACAUUGUUGGAUAAUUCGAUGCCAAACUAAAACCUGGAGUCAAUUACGAUGAAUUUAAAAACUAUAGGCAAGAAUUAUGUAUAUCAAAGUGCAUAAAUGUAUUCUACUGUCAUGUAUAACUAUUUAGAACAAAUAAAAAAUUAAAAAUAAACUAUAGGCAGGAAAAGUU